This 253-nucleotide ribosomal RNA is filed under the name uncultured bacterium. RNAcentral describes it as "partial 16S ribosomal RNA". It matches the Rfam family "Bacterial small subunit ribosomal RNA", at positions 524 to 776 of the family's 1533-position model. The record is from RNAcentral.
UACGUAGGGUGCAAGCGUUGUCCGGAAUUAUUGGGCGUAAAGAGCUCGUAGGCGGUUCGUCGCGUCGGCUGUGAAAUCCCGGAGCUCAACUCCGGGUCUGCAGUCGAUACGGGCGGACUUGAGUACUGCAGGGGAGACUGGAAUUCCUGGUGUAGCGGUGAAAUGCGCAGAUAUCAGGAGGAACACCGGUGGCGAAGGCGGGUCUCUGGGCCAUUACUGACGCUGAGGAGCGAAAGCGUGGGGAGCGAACAGG